GUUUAACAAAAACAUGUCUUUUUGAUAAUAAUUUAAAGUCUAACCUGCCCAAUGAAUAAUUUUAAAUGGCCGCAGUAUUUUGACUGUGCAAAGGUAGCAUAAUCAUUAGUUUUUUAAUUGAAAGCUGGAAUGAAAGGUUGAAUGAGAAAAUAACUGUCUCUAUUUAAAUUAAUUAGAAUUUUAUCUUUAAGUAAAAAAGCUUAAAUAAGAAUAAAAGACGAGAAGACCCUAUAGAGUUUUAUAUUUAGUUAAUUUUAGAUUUUUAGUAUUUUAAAAUUAUUUUUAAUAAAAUAUUUAAUUGGGGUGAUUGAAAAAUUAAAGUAACUUUUUUUAAUUUGAAACAUUAAUUUAUGAUUAUUUGAUCCUUAAAUAAAGAUUAUAAGAUUAAAUUACCUUAGGGAUAACAGCGUAAUUUUUUUUAAGAGUUCAAAUCGAAAAAAAAGAUUGCGACCUCGAUGUUGGAUUAAA
RNAcentral lists this ribosomal RNA (468 nucleotides) under Conotrachelus sp. SPN-042. RNAcentral describes it as "partial 16S ribosomal RNA". It matches the Rfam family "Bacterial large subunit ribosomal RNA", at positions 1802 to 2541 of the family's 2925-position model. Lineage: Eukaryota; Metazoa; Arthropoda; Insecta; Coleoptera; Curculionidae. The record is from RNAcentral.